CAGGACGACGCUGGCGGCGUGCCUCAUACAUGCAAGUCGAGCGGUCUGGCGCAAGUCAGAUAGCGGCGGACGGGUGAGUAACACGUGGGUAACCUGCCCUAAAGACCGGGAUAACAUCCUGAAAGGGAUGCUAAUACCGGGUAUGGUCUUCCAGUCGCAUGGCAGGAAGAAGAGAGGAGCAAUCCGCUUUAGGAUGGGCCCGCGUCCCAUUAGCUAGUUGGUGAGGUAACAGCUCACCAAGGCGACGAUGGGUAGCCGACCUGAGAGGGUGACCGGCCACACUGGGACUGAGACACGGCCCAGACUCCUACGGGAGGCAGCAGUCGGGAAUAUUGGGCAAUGGGGGAAAAACCCCUGACCCAGCAACGCCGCGUGAGUGACGAAGGCCUUCGGGUCGUAAAGCUCUGUCCUUGGGGACGAACGAUGACGGUACCCAAGAAGAAAGCCACGGCUAACUACGUGCCAGCCGCCGC
Molecule: ribosomal RNA, 473 nt
Filed under: uncultured bacterium
Lineage: Bacteria
Description: bacterial SSU rRNA
Rfam family: Bacterial small subunit ribosomal RNA
Source: RNAcentral